UUUUAAAUUGUUGGCCAGAAUUACCUUGU
This 29-nucleotide non-coding RNA is filed under the name Rattus norvegicus (Norway rat). Lineage: Eukaryota; Metazoa; Chordata; Mammalia; Rodentia; Muridae. The record is from RNAcentral.